CAAGGAGUUCAGGACCCCCAAAUCUUCACCCCGAGGGGUUCAGGACCCCCCAAGCCCCCUCCCCAAAUUGGGGGGUCCCUCAGAGGGGGCUCAGGACCCCCAAACCCCCUCCCCAAAUUCAGGGGUCCCACAGAAAGGGGUCCAGGAGCCCCCAAACCCCCUCCCCAAAUUGGGGGGUCCCUCAGAAGGGGGAUCCAGAACCCCCAAGCCCCCUCCCCAAAUUGGGGGGUCCCUCAGAGGAGGUCCAGAAUCCCCCAAAUCUUCACCCCAAGGGGCUCAGGACCCCCAAACCCCCUCCCCAAAUUGGAGGGUCCCUCAGAGGGGGGGUCCAGAGCCCCCAAACCCCCUCCCCAAAUUGGGGGGUCCCUCAGAGGGGGGGUCCCAGGCACUCCACCAUCCCCUGGCCCCUGAUGCCGUCGAAGAAGAAGAAAUUGUUGUGGGGGGGGUCCCGCUGGGACAGAGCCUGGAGGGGACACGGGGGGGUCACCAGGGGGGAUUUGGGGACCCCCAAAAUCCCCAAAACCCCCCAAAACCCCCCAAAAUCCCCCCAAAAUCUUACCUUGACCACCUCCUGGCCCAGCACCCCCCCGACCACGGCGCACACCGGGGCCAUCUCCGAAAAACAGAAGCUGGGAGAUAAAAAUAAAGAGAUUUAAGAGGAAUAAAUCCCCAAAAUUGGGGGGUUUCA
Molecule: long non-coding RNA, 688 nt
Filed under: Parus major (Great Tit)
Lineage: Eukaryota; Metazoa; Chordata; Aves; Passeriformes; Paridae
Description: lncRNA (ENSPMJG00000002399.1)
Source: RNAcentral